UACGUAGGGUGCAAGCGUUGUCCGGAAUUAUUGGGCGUAAAGAGCUCGUAGGCGGUUUGUCGCGUCUGCUGUGAAAACUCGGGGCUUAACUCCGGGCCUGCAGUGGGUACGGGCAGACUAGAGUGCGGUAGGGGAGACUGGAAUUCCUGGUGUAGCGGUGAAAUGCGCAGAUAUCAGGAGGAACACCGAUGGCGAAGGCAGGUCUCUGGGCAUUAACUGACGCUGAGGCACGAAAGUGUGGGGAUCAAACAGG
Molecule: ribosomal RNA, 253 nt
Filed under: uncultured bacterium
Lineage: Bacteria
Description: partial 16S ribosomal RNA
Rfam family: Bacterial small subunit ribosomal RNA
Source: RNAcentral